GGAUGAGCCCGCGGCCUAUCAGCUUGUUGGUGGGGUAAUGGCCUACCAAGGCUUCGACGGGUAGCCGGCCUGAGAGGGUGACCGGCCACACUGGGACUGAGACACGGCCCAGACUCCUACGGGAGGCAGCAGUGGGGAAUAUUGGACAAUGGGCGAAAGCCUGAUCCAGCAACGCCGCGUGAGGGAUGACGGCCUUCGGGUUGUAAACCUCUUUCAGCACAGACGAAGCGAAAGUGACGGUAUGUGCAGAAGAAGCACCGGCCAACUACGUGCCAGCAGCCGCGGUAAUACGUAGGGUGCGAGCGUUGUCCGGAAUUAUUGGGCGUAAAGGGCUCGUAGGCGGUUUGUUGCGUCAGGAGUGAAAACUCGGGGCUUAACCCCGAGCCUGCUUCUGAUACGGGCAGACUUGAGGUAUGCAGGGGAGAACGGAAUUCCUGGUGUAGCGGUGAAAUGCGCAGAUAUCAGGAGGAACACCGGUGGCGAAGGCGGUUCUCUGGGCAUUACCUGGAC
Molecule: ribosomal RNA, 510 nt
Filed under: uncultured Actinomycetes bacterium
Lineage: Bacteria; Bacillati; Actinomycetota; Actinomycetes
Description: bacterial SSU rRNA
Rfam family: Bacterial small subunit ribosomal RNA
Source: RNAcentral